CAUGCAGUCGAACGAUGAUGCCCAGCUUGCUGGGUGGAUUAGUGGCGAAGGGGUGAGUAACACGUGAGUAACCUGCCCCUGACUCUGGGAUAAGCGUUGGAAACGACGUCUAAUACUGGAUAUGAUCACUGGCCGCAUGGUCUGGUGGUGGAAAGAUUUUUUGGUUGGGGAUGGACUCGCGGCCUAUCAGCUUGUUGGUGAGGUAAUGGCUCACCAAGGCGACAACAGGUAGCCGGCCUGAGAGGGUGACCGGCCACACUGGGACUGAGACACGGCCCACACUCCUACGGGAGGCAGCAGUGGGGAAUAUUGCACAAUGGGCGAAAGCCUGAUGCACCAACGCCGCGUGAGGGAUGACGGCCUUCGGGUUGUAAACCUCUUUUAUUAGGGAAGAACCGAAAGUGACGGUACCUGCAUAAAAAGCACCGGCUAACUACGUGCCAGCAGCCGCGGUAAUACGUAGGGUGCAAGCGUUGUCCGGAAUUAUUGGGCGUAAAGAGCUCGUAGGCGGUUUGUCGCGUCUGCUGUGAAAUCCCGAGGCUCAACCUCGGGCUUGCAGUGGGUACGGGCAGACUAGAGUGCGGUAGGGGAGAUUGGAAUUCCUGGUGUAGCGGUGGAAUGCGCAGAUAUCAGGAGGAACACCGAUGGCGAAGGCAGAUCUCUGGGCCGUAACUGACGCUGAGGAGCGAAAGCGUGGGGAGCGAACAGGAUUAGAUACCCUGGUAGUCCACGCCGUAAACGUUGGGCGCUAGAUGUAGGGACCUUUCCACGGUUUCUGUGUCGUACCUAACGCAUUAAGCGCCCCGCCUGGGGAGUACGGCCGCAAGGCUAAAACUCAAAGGAAUUGACAGGGGCCCCGCACAAGCGGCGGAGCAUGCCGGAUUAAUUCGAUGCAACGCGAAGAACCUUACCAAGGCUUGACAUACACCGGAAACGGCCAGAGAUGGUUGCCCCCNUUGUGGUCGGUGUACAGGUGGGUGCAUGGUUGUCGUCACCUCGUGUCG
This 1004-nucleotide ribosomal RNA is filed under the name Curtobacterium sp. RNAcentral describes it as "bacterial SSU rRNA". It matches the Rfam family "Bacterial small subunit ribosomal RNA", at positions 54 to 1067 of the family's 1533-position model. The record is from RNAcentral. Lineage: Bacteria; Bacillati; Actinomycetota; Actinomycetes; Micrococcales; Microbacteriaceae.